This 2044-nucleotide long non-coding RNA is filed under the name Homo sapiens (human). RNAcentral describes it as "non-protein coding lnc-KLC2-2:1". The record is from RNAcentral. Lineage: Eukaryota; Metazoa; Chordata; Mammalia; Primates; Hominidae.
CCGUCAGUUCUAUCAGUGUUCCUGAGUUCCACACUUAAAUCCAGCUUUACUACUGCUUCAGAACAAACUUCUUCCUGCCUUUCCUGGGCCACGCCACAGCCUCCUAACUGGUUUUCCUGUUUCCACUCUCCCCUUUCUUUGUCCAUUAUUCACCUAGCAGCAGGGCGAUCUUGCACAAAUCAUUUUCUAUCACCCCUUUGUUUAUAAUUCUUCAGUGGCUUUCCAUCAUAAACAAAAUAAAGGUCCCUACUGCAUAGUCCAGGCUCCGUUUGCCUCUGACCUCACAUCUUUUUGUUUGUUUGUUUGUUUUGUUUUUGAGACAGAGUCUUACUCUGUCACCCAGGCUGCAGUGCAAUGGCAUGGUCUCGGCUCACUGCAACCUCUGCCUCCCGGGUUCAAGCAAUUCUCAUGCCUCAGCCUCCCGAGUAGCUGGGACUACAGGUGCCCGCCACUACACCCAGCUAAUUUUUGUAUUUUUUGUAGAGAUGGGGUUUCACCAUGUUGGCCAGGCUCUCUCGAACUCCUGACCUCAGGUGAUCCACCUGCCUUGGCCUCCCAAGGUGCUGGGAUCACAGGCGUGAGCCACCAUGCACAGCCUGAUGUCACAUCUUACAGCUGUCGUCAUUUGCCAUGCACUAGACAUCCUUGCCUUGUUUCCUUCAAAUAUCCCAGCCUCACUUUAUUUAGGUUUCAUCUUCUUUUUUAAAGUUUUACUCUAUAUGUAUUUCCCUGCACAAUUAAUCGUUUAUUUUUGCUUGGUUUUGAAUUUGAUAUAGUACAAUAUUAUAGGUAGUCUUCUGCAGCUUAAGCUUAGUUCAUUCACUUUCAUUGCUGGAUCGCUUUUGAUUGUGUGAAUUUACAGGUUUGUCUACUCCUCUGACAGUGUACACUUGGGUUCUGAUGAGAACAGUGCAAAUAUUGUCUAGUAUAUAAGGAACUUAUAAUGGGCCAGGCAGUGUUCUCAGUGCUUUUAUAUAUAUGGGCACUAAGAGCAACCCUAUGAGUUGGUAUUAUUACGAUGCUCAUUUUUCAGAUGAGGGAGCAGAGACAUAGGAAGAUGAGUAACUUACCCUUGUCAUCUGGUAAUGAGUGAAAUUGCUGGAUCAUGGACUUCACAUAUGUUUAGCCUCAAAAGAUGAUGCCUAAUAGUUUCUGAAGUGAUUGUACCAGUUGAUACUCCCACCAGCAGCAUAUGAGUUCCCAUCGUGCCGCAUCUUCACACACACCUAGUUUUGCCAAAUUUGUGGGUGUAAAAUGGUAUUUUGAUUUCAAUUUGCAUUUCCCCGAUUCCUAAUGAUUUGAGCAUAUUUUUGUAUAUUUAUUAUCCAUUAGUGUUUCCUCUUCCGGAAACAUGGAGCGUCUGUUCAUGUCUUUUGCCCACUUUUCCAUUGAUUUGUCAGUCUUUUUCUUACUGACUUAUAGUUCUUUCCCUUUGUCAGUAUUAGGAGUUUCAGUCUUCUCUGGGUUCAUGGCUUUGGCUUGUCUUUUUUUUUUUUUUUUUUGUUGAGACAGGGUCUUACUCUGUGAUCCAGGCUGGAGUGCAGUCAUAGCUCACUGCAACCUCGAACUUGAACUCCCGGCCUCAACUGAUCCUCCCACCUCUGCCUCCCAAAGUACUGGAAUUACAGGCAUGAGCUACCACAGCUGCCUUUGGCUUGUCCUUUGAGUCUCUUUUUGGUGUCUCUUGAUGAAUAGAAAUUCCAAAGUCCAUUGUCAAAUAAAAGACUUGUAUCUAGACUAUGUAAAAAACCUAACACUCAGCCGGGCGCAGUGGCUCACGCCUGUAAUCCUAGCACUUUGGGAGGCCGAGGCAAGCGGAUCACUUGAGCUCAGGAGUUCGAAACCAGCUUGGCCAUCAUGGUGAAACCCUGUCUCUACUAAAAAAUACAAAAAAUUAGCUGGGCAUGGUGGUGUGUGCCUGUAAUCCCAGCUACUUGGGAGGCUGAGGCAGGAGAAUCGCUUGAACCCGGGAGGCAGAAGUUGUAGAGAGCCAAGAUCAUGCCACCGCACUCCAGCCUGGGCGACAGAGCGAAACUCCAUCUCA